Molecule: non-coding RNA, 47 nt
Organism: Macrostomum lignano
Lineage: Eukaryota; Metazoa; Platyhelminthes; Macrostomidae
Source: Rfam
CAAACGGCCCUUUUCAGGGCCACCCCAAACUAACUUAGUGAUUGAGU